This 270-nucleotide ribosomal RNA is filed under the name uncultured archaeon. RNAcentral's name for it is "partial 16S ribosomal RNA". It matches the Rfam family "Archaeal small subunit ribosomal RNA", at positions 477 to 747 of the family's 1478-position model. The record is from RNAcentral.
CAGCUCUCCGAGUGGUAGGGAUGAUUAUUGGGCUUAAAGCGUCCGUAGCCUGCUUAGCAAGUCCCCUGUUAAAUUCAGCGACCUAAUCGUUGAGCCGCGGGAGAUACUACUAGGCUAGGAGGCGGGAGAGGUCGACGGUACUUCUGGGGUAGGGGUGAAAUCCUAUAAUCCCAGGAGGACCACCAGUGGCGAAGGCUGUCGACUAGAACGCGCUCGACGGUGAGGGACGAAAGCUGGGGGAGCGAACCGGAUUAGAUACCCGAGUAGUCC